AUAGUUUGCAGCGGAACCUUCCUUAUAUAGAAGCUAAAUUAGCUUUACCUUGGCUGGUGGCUUGCAAUCCCAUUCCCCUUUGUCCUCCUUCUCACUUGAAGCAUUUUACUUUUCUUCGCUUCACCAGUUUCCCUUUUCUAUUUUUCUUCUUCUUCUUCUUUUUUCUUUUUCAUUAUAUAAUAUAUUUGCUAUUUGCUAAGUACUCUCAAAGUCACUGCAGAAUCUUUCAAUUCAAAACCCUCUUCUUUGGUUCAUCUUUAAGUUUCACCAUCUUCAAUAAUAUUAGUGACUUGCUGAAAUAAUAUUAAUUGAGUUUCGUCUUUAAGUUUCACCAUCUUCCCUAACUAAAAUCAUUAAAUAUUUUACAGAAAUUAGUUCAAAUAUUUAUAUUUUUUUCGAUUCUACUAAAUUUCUUCUCUACUUCUUUCAAAAAACUUCAUAAUUUAGAUUUUAGCACUGAGAAAAAUAUGAAAGUAAUUUUAUAGGAACCAAUAAGAAUAUGGAUGUUUAAUAUAUUACUAAACUCUAUAGAAAUGUGAGCAAUUUUUCAAAUCAUGCAAAAAUGAAAAAA
This 571-nucleotide long non-coding RNA is filed under the name Manihot esculenta (cassava). RNAcentral's name for it is "long non-coding RNA (MESC_LNC007597)". The record is from RNAcentral. Lineage: Eukaryota; Viridiplantae; Streptophyta; Magnoliopsida; Malpighiales; Euphorbiaceae.